AUUGAACGCUGGCGGCAGGCCUAACACAUGCAAGUCGAACGGUAACAGGAAGAUGCUUGCUUCUUUGCUGACGAGUGGCGGGCGGGUGAGUAAUGUCUGGGAAACUGCCUGAUGGAGGGGGAUAACUACUGGAAACGGUAGCUACUACCGCAUAACGUCGCAAGCCCAAAGAGGGGGACCUUCGGGCCUUUUGCCAUCGGAUGUGCCCAGGUGGGAUUCGCUAGUAGGUGGGGUAACGGCUCACCUAGGCGACGAUCCCUACCUGGUCUGAGAGGAUGACCAGCCACACUGGAACUGAGACACGGUCCAGACUCCUACGGGAGGCAGCAGUGGGGAAUAUUGCACAAUGGGCGCAAGCCUGAUGCAGCCAGGCCGCGUGUAUGAAGAAGGCCUUCGGGUUGUAAAGUACUUUCAGCGGGGAGGAAGGGAGUAAAGUUAAUACCUUUGCUCAUUGACGGUACCCGCAGAAGAAGCACCGGCUAACUCCGUG
This 490-nucleotide ribosomal RNA is filed under the name uncultured bacterium. Its description in RNAcentral is "partial 16S ribosomal RNA". It matches the Rfam family "Bacterial small subunit ribosomal RNA", at positions 30 to 507 of the family's 1533-position model. The record is from RNAcentral.